RNAcentral lists this transfer RNA (77 nucleotides) under Daphnia pulex (common water flea). Its description in RNAcentral is "tRNA-Tyr". Lineage: Eukaryota; Metazoa; Arthropoda; Branchiopoda; Diplostraca; Daphniidae. The record is from RNAcentral.
AGUCAAAUGGCCGAGGAGUAGGCAUUAAAUUGUAAAUUUAAGUACGGGGUCCCCCCCUUUGACUAAACAAACCAGCG